RNAcentral lists this ribosomal RNA (235 nucleotides) under uncultured bacterium. RNAcentral describes it as "partial 16S ribosomal RNA". It matches the Rfam family "Bacterial small subunit ribosomal RNA", at positions 82 to 334 of the family's 1533-position model. The record is from RNAcentral.
GCCCGCAAGGGGAGCGGCAGACGGGUGAGUAACGCGUGGGAAUCUACCUUUUGCUACGGAAUAACUCAGGGAAACUUGUGCUAAUACCGUAUGUGCCCUUCGGGGGAAAGAUUUAUCGGCAAAGGAUGAGCCCGCGUUGGAUUAGCUAGUUGGUGGGGUAAAGGCCCACCAAGGCGACGAUCCAUAGCUGGUCUGAGAGGAUGAUCAGCCACACUGGGACUGAGACACGGCCCAG